GCUUACGGCCACACCCCCGCCUGGUUCACGCCCGAUCUCGGAAGCUAAGAUAGGUUGGGCCUGGUUAGUACUUGGAUGGGAGACCGCCUGGGAAUACCAGGUGCUGUAAGCU
This is a ribosomal RNA of Scophthalmus maximus (turbot), 112 nucleotides long. The record is from Ensembl. NCBI's taxonomy places the organism in Eukaryota, Metazoa, Chordata, Actinopteri, Pleuronectiformes, Scophthalmidae.